AUCACUGUAGACCAGCUAACACCGGCAGCAUAAGCUGGUUCUUAGCAGUUUUUUUUCACCAGGGAUGUGACGGCAUAAUGUACCACAGCUGGAGGCGUUUGAGUUCAAAGCCCUUUCAGGUCCCAGUAGGAACAGCAGAUGGAUGUAAUUUAAUCACAAAAAAGAGACAAACGCAAAGGAAGUCGCUCCCCCAGCCCCUCCUCCACGUGUUUUUGUUCUUUCUUUAUGCAAUUACUGGUCUUUCAGUUUUAUUAUAGCUGCUCCCGGCUCACUGUGACUGCUUUGUAAAGACAGCGUGAAGCUGAGGGUGCCUGCACUUUUGCGAAUGCUGUAAGAUGGAACCUUGCUCUGCUAAUAGUUCAAAUUCAGUGGAUGUUUGAACUUGGAACUCUGAAGUUCAGCCGGUUUCAGUGCAUUUUGCAGUUAUAUCUUGCGGUGCUUCCUUCCAGUGCCAGGUCGGCACCACUGCAUGUCUGUCCACUUGCUAAAUGGGGAUCCCGUCCAAGUUGCCCUGGGUCAAACACUGGUUCUGGAAGCUCAAGUCAACAAAACCCCAGGACAUGAGAUUUCAAUGGUGACGUGGGAGCUGCAAAGAGACAAACAAAGAGAGAAGGUAGCCGAAUAUCCCAAGAGGAACCUCAAGUUGGAUGUCUCCCUCGACCAGCAGGGGAUGGUACUGAGAGUUACUAAACUGAACGAAACAGGCUACGGAAUUUAUACUGUGACUGUGACUGACAAAAACGGGAAAGAAUACACUGCUAGACGUACCGUAAAAGAAGCUGUGACACCACCAGAAGCGUCCAUCUCGCUCUACUGCGACGUGCCCCUCACACGGUGGGACGUGCCGGGGUUCGUGUGGCUAGUGGAUGGGGUGGACGUGUCCAACAACACGAGUGUCCUCUCUGCAGACGGCAGGAGACUCUUCCUGUCUGCACAGAAAGGGUUAAACUACACCUGUGUAGUGAGCAGCAGCCAGGGAACCAGUGUUGCCCAGUAUAUCACAGGUGUCAUCUCAGCAGCCUGUGACGGGCUUAUAUGCAGCAGCUGGAUCUGGGUCUUGGUGACCCUGCCCUUUGCUGUCUGCUUCUAGCGACUAUUUAUUGAGGCAACAGGGUGGCACUCCCAGCCAAUCAUCAAGCUCUAUCAAUUGACUCUGCCCACUCACAGGGUCUUGUGCCAAAUGACAGCAUCCAUCAGCAUAGUGCGAUUGGGACCUCGCAGAAGAUGACCACAACCUAACAACUGAGGUUUCUGUGUCACAUUAAUGCAGAAACUGCUAUCUUCAUUAAUAUUAAUUGUGACAUUUUUACUACUGUGGUGUAAUAAAGAUGUAUUUUGCUUGUGAUAAUAAAAAAUAUUUUCAUAAUUUCA
Molecule: RNA transcript, 1371 nt
Organism: Paramormyrops kingsleyae
Lineage: Eukaryota; Metazoa; Chordata; Actinopteri; Osteoglossiformes; Mormyridae
Source: RefSeq, a predicted model, not a curated record